RNAcentral lists this ribosomal RNA (453 nucleotides) under Candidatus Anaplasma amazonensis. RNAcentral's name for it is "partial 16S ribosomal RNA". It matches the Rfam family "Bacterial small subunit ribosomal RNA", at positions 97 to 585 of the family's 1533-position model. Lineage: Bacteria; Pseudomonadati; Pseudomonadota; Alphaproteobacteria; Rickettsiales; Anaplasmataceae. The record is from RNAcentral. RNAcentral also lists the same sequence under 1 other name.
GGCAGACGGGUGAGUAAUGCAUAGGAAUCUGCCUAGUAGUAUGGGAUAGCCACUAGAAAUGGUGGGUAAUACUGUAUAAUCCCUGCGGGGGAAAGAUUUAUCGCUACUGGAUGAGCCUAUGUUAGAUUAGCUAGUUGGUGGGGUAAUGGCCUACCAAGGCUGUGAUCUAUAGCUGGUCUGAGAGGAUGAUCAGCCACACUGGAACUGAGACACGGUCCAGACUCCUACGGGAGGCAGCAGUGGGGAAUAUUGGACAAUGGGCGCAAGCCUGAUCCAGCUAUGCCGCGUGAGUGAGGAAGGCCUUAGGGUUGUAAAACUCUUUCAGCAGGGAAGAUAAUGACGGUACCUGCAGAAGAAGUCCCGGCAAACUCCGUGCCAGCAGCCGCGGUAAUACGGAGGGGGCAAGCGUUGUUCGGAAUUAUUGGGCGUAAAGGGCAUGUAGGCGGUUUGGUA